UGGGGAAUAUUGGACAAUGGGCGAAAGCCUGAUCCAGCCAUGCCGCGUGUGUGAAGAAGGCCUUUUGGUUGUAAAGCACUUUAAGUGGGGAGGAAAAGCUUAUGGUUAAUGCCCAUAAGCCCUGACGUUACCCACAGAAUAAGCACCGGCUAACUCUGUGCCAGCAGCCGCGGUAAUACAGAGGGUGCAAGCGUUAAUCGGAAUUACUGGGCGUAAAGCGCGCGUAGGUGGUUAUUUAAGUCAGAUGUGAAAGCCCCGGGCUUAACCUGGGAACUGCAUCUGAUACUGGAUAACUAGAGUAGGUGAGAGGGGAGUAGAAUUCCAGGUGUAGCGGUGAAAUGCGUAGAGAUCUGGAGGAAUACCGAUGGCGAAGGCAGCUCCCUGGCAUCAUACUGACACUGAGGUGCGAAAGCGUGGGUAGCAAACAGGAUUAGAUACCCUGGUAGUCCACGCCGUAAACGAUGUCUACCAGUCGUUGGGUCUUUUAAAGACUUAGUGACGCAGUUAACGCAAUAAGUAGACCGCCUGGGGAGUACGGCCGCAAGGUUA
This 549-nucleotide ribosomal RNA is filed under the name uncultured bacterium. RNAcentral's name for it is "bacterial SSU rRNA". It matches the Rfam family "Bacterial small subunit ribosomal RNA", at positions 355 to 896 of the family's 1533-position model. The record is from RNAcentral.